AUGCAUAGGCAUGAAGAGUGGGUUCUGACCAAGGAUAAAGGAAGACUACGGAGCGGAAGCAGCACUGAGCUGGGGGAGCACUGCUGUGUCCAUUGGGAGGAAAGGGAUUGGGAACGUCAGUGAGCUGGAAGCAAGAGUAUACGUCCAGGUGGGGUGACUUUUAUCUGAACCAGAGCCUGGGGACCCCCGAGGAUGCUCCUGAGGAUGAAGACUGGUCCUAUGUGGUGACAACAGGAUAAGGAGGAAGAAGAGAAACGAAGAGAUGCUUGUUUCCCCAAAGGAUAAGCCAACAGGUCUAAUGACUCAUUGGUGGACUUAUUUACAAAGAGCAGGGAGGAAGCAUGUGAACUGUGUCUUUCUCUUUAUCAGUCCCCUGAGCUGAGAAGCAACCAAAAAAAAAAAAAAAAAUCUCCAGCUGAAAGGUAGAGGUUCCAAGCCACUGAACCUGUUAUAUAUGCUGCGGUCGCUCCCCAUGCAACAGCAUCUGCUGUGACCCUGGGAAGCGAGAGAAGUCCUUGGUCGCGGCCACUGGAACCUGAGGAGCCAUUCGGAGGCUGAGCCUCCCCCUGGGCUGGUGGACGUGGGUUGCAAAGGCCCACCUGGGACACCAAACGGGGACAGCCUCCAAGAUCAAGUUGUCCUUUGUUCAUUCUACCAAUGUUUAUUAAGGAUUGACUUUGUGUGAAGCAAGAGCAACCGUACGGAUGUAAACUCGAAUGAUCCAAGGCUCUAGACGCGGUAAGGGUUUGGGGACAUGUCCCCUCAUCUGCAAACACCUUGUGCCUAGGCCAUGUUUAUAUCCCUAAGUGUCUGAUGCACAAGACCUUCACAAAUGGACCUACAGGUGAAGGAGGGAAUACUUGAAGGGGCCACCGAGGAAGGCUGGAGGACUCGGAG
Molecule: long non-coding RNA, 897 nt
Filed under: Canis lupus familiaris (dog)
Lineage: Eukaryota; Metazoa; Chordata; Mammalia; Carnivora; Canidae
Description: lncRNA (ENSCAFG00040016810.1)
Source: RNAcentral